GAGCUGCGCGCGCAUAUCAACUAGCAGACUACGUUGCGCUCCAGAGUGUCCUUUCUCCCAAAGCCUCUCUGGCCCGGCCCUUUCGAUAGGCGUUGGAUUUACUACGUGGAGACUGGAUGCUGAAUUAGAUAAUGACUGGCCUCAUUUGGAAUUUCUGAAAAAUGCACAUCAUGGGUGACUUCUCAGGACUCUAUCAGCAGUGAGCAACUUUGAGAUGAUGUCUCCCUCUGAUAAAAAGAUCAGGCCUAUUUACUGCUCACUAUAAGGGUGGUGGAUUCCUGAAUUUCACUGUUGUUCUACAGCAUGACACGUUGCAUAUGCAGG
Long non-coding RNA from Fukomys damarensis (Damara mole-rat), 324 nucleotides. RefSeq lists it as uncharacterized. The record is from RefSeq and is a predicted model, not a curated record. NCBI's taxonomy places the organism in Eukaryota, Metazoa, Chordata, Mammalia, Rodentia, Bathyergidae. The transcript is spliced from 3 exons.